This is a long non-coding RNA of Lingula anatina, 336 nucleotides long. Lineage: Eukaryota; Metazoa; Brachiopoda; Lingulata; Lingulida; Lingulidae. The record is from RefSeq and is a predicted model, not a curated record.
GUACAGGAAAUAGCAAACACACAUCUAAAAGGCGGGUAAUGUAGAAAUUGUGUCACUACUUCAGCAUACACUGCUUCACUGAGAGCAAGCACACUAAUCUUCAAGAUUGAGGUCUUAACAGAUUUGGACUUUUUGUCCACAGGGACAAAGGUGCUUGCUGCAGGAGAAUAGGAGAAUGUGACUGUGCUACAGAAGAUACCAUCUAGAAUAUUUUUCCAUUUGAUUAAAUGUUUUUCGUGUUGUGUAAGGUGUAGUCUUUAUAUCCAUUCCAUUUAUUUAUUUAUUUAUUAAAAAACAGAUUAUUUAGUAUAUGAAACAUAUCAAACUAUAAUUUCU